AGUGAACGCUGGCGGCAUGCCUAAUACAUGCAAGUCGAACGGCAGCACAGUAAGAUUUCGCUCUUACGGGUGGCGACUGGCGGGUGGGUGAGGCAUAGAUAGCAAUCUACUUUUUCGUGGGUAACAACGGAGGGCAACUUAUGCUACCACAGCAUACUUCCUACGGGUGAAUGCAGGGGAUCUUCGGACCUUGCGCGUCUGAUGGAGCCGAUGUCGCAUUAGCUAGUUGGCGGGGUAAAGGCCCACCAAGGCGACGAUCCGUAGCCGGUCUGAGAGGGUGAUCGGCCACACUGGAACUGAGACACGGUCCAGACUCCUACGGGAGGCAGCAGUAGGGAAUCUUGGGCAAUGGGCGCAAGCCUGACGCAGCCACGCCGCGUGAGUGAAGAAGGUCUUCGGAUCGUAAAACUCUUUUGUUAGGGAAGAAAAACUGCAGGUGUAACUCCCGCUGUUCUGACGGUACCCAAAGAGAAAGCAACGGCUAACUACGUG
RNAcentral lists this ribosomal RNA (492 nucleotides) under uncultured bacterium. RNAcentral describes it as "partial 16S ribosomal RNA". It matches the Rfam family "Bacterial small subunit ribosomal RNA", at positions 29 to 507 of the family's 1533-position model. The record is from RNAcentral.